RNAcentral lists this ribosomal RNA (429 nucleotides) under uncultured bacterium. RNAcentral describes it as "bacterial SSU rRNA". It matches the Rfam family "Bacterial small subunit ribosomal RNA", at positions 29 to 506 of the family's 1533-position model. The record is from RNAcentral.
ACGAACGCUGGCGGCAGGCUUAACACAUGCAAGUCGAACGCCCCGCAAGGGGAGUGGCAGACGGGUGAGUAACGCGUGGGAAUCUACCGUACCCUACGGAAUAACGCAUGGAAACGUGUGCUAAUACCGUAUACGCCCUUUGGGGGAAAGAUUUAUCGGGGUAUGAUGAGCCCGCGUUGGAUUAGCUAGUUGGUGGGGUAAAGGCCUACCAAGGCGACGAUCCAUAGCUGGUCUGAGAGGAUGAUCAGCCACAUUGGGACUGAGACACGGCCCAAACUCCUACGGGAGGCAGCAGUGGGGAAUAUUGGACAAUGGGCGCAAGCCUGAUCCAGCCAUGCCGCGUGAGUGAUGAAGGCCCUAGGGUUGUAAAGCUCUUUCACCGGUGAAGAUAAUGACGGUAACCGGAGAAGAAGCCCCGGCUAACUUCGU